Molecule: ribosomal RNA, 549 nt
Filed under: uncultured marine bacterium
Lineage: Bacteria
Description: bacterial SSU rRNA
Rfam family: Bacterial small subunit ribosomal RNA
Source: RNAcentral
UACGGGAGGCAGCAGUGAGGAAUAUUGGGCAAUGGAGGCAACUCUGACCCAGCUAUGCCGCGUGCAGGAAGAAGGUUCUAUGGACUGUAAACUGCUUUUANACAGGAAGAAACGCAUUCACGGGUUGAGUGUUUGACGGUACUGUAUGAAUAAGGACCGGCUAACUCCGUGCCAGCAGCCGCGGUAAUACGGAGGGUUCGAGCGUUAUCCGGAAUUAUUGGGUUUAAAGGGUCCGCAGGCGGACAAUUAAGUCAGAGGUGAAAUCCCAUUGCUCAACGAUGGCAUUGCCUUUGAUACUGGUUGUCUUGAGUAUUACGGAAGUAGAUAGAAUAUGUGGUGUAGCGGUAAAAUGCAUAGAUAUCACAUAGAAUACCGAUNGCGAAGGCAGUCUACUACGUGGUUACUGACGCUCAUGGACGAAAGCGUGGGGAGCGAACAGGAUUAGAUACCCUGGUAGUGCCACGCCGUAAACGAUGGACACUAGNUGUUGGGGUGUAAACUUCCAGUGACUAAGCGAAAGNGAUAAGUUCCCACCUGGGGAGUACGACC